Molecule: ribosomal RNA, 259 nt
Filed under: uncultured bacterium
Lineage: Bacteria
Description: partial 16S ribosomal RNA
Rfam family: Bacterial small subunit ribosomal RNA
Source: RNAcentral
GCCUACGGGGGGCAGCAGUGGGGAAUAUUGCACAAUGGGGGAAACCCUGAUGCAGCAACGCCGCGUGAGUGAAGAAGUAUUUCGGUAUGUAAAGCUCUAUCAGCAGGGAAGAGAAUGACGGUACCUGACUAAGAAGCCCCGGCUAACUACGUGCCAGCAGCCGCGGUAAUACGUAGGGGGCGAGCGUUAUCCGGAUUUACUGGGUGUAAAGGGAGCGUAGACGGUUCUGCAAGUCUGAAGUGAAAGCCCGUGGCUUAAC